This is a long non-coding RNA of Malus domestica (apple), 270 nucleotides long. RefSeq lists it as uncharacterized. The record is from RefSeq and is a predicted model, not a curated record. NCBI's taxonomy places the organism in Eukaryota, Viridiplantae, Streptophyta, Magnoliopsida, Rosales, Rosaceae.
UGCCUUCACGAAUGAUAAGAGCAUACAACGGAGAUUGGCUUUGUAUCAAGGCGUAUGUCCAAUAUAUACAUGGAGUUCACAGAAGAUUCUGAAACAAGCUUUAGCAAUGCCUUGACUGUGCUGAAGGAGCAAGGAUUGGUAAAGGCAGGAGAAGAGGUCGCACUCGUUCAAAGUGGCAGGCAACCCAUUUGGCGGCUCCAAUCCACUCACAAAAUUCAAGUGCGCAAAAUUUAGGUGCAACGGAGAUGGAAUAAUCGCCCUCGUAACAUA